AUUUUUUCUCAUAUUAAGAGUGCAAUGACAUUAGAUUUCUAAGAAAAAGAAGGAUGGUAAGAAAAACUCAAACCAAAAUUAAUGUACCUCCUCAUUAGGCUGUGUUGAAAGCUCAAACAAUGUUCUAAUUGCCAUCAACUUUAGCAAAUGCAUAGGGUGUUAUUUCUUUUGCAGGGCUAAAUAGGAAUUGUAUCACAGCGAUAGCGUAGCUGAAUAAACCAA
Molecule: unclassified non-coding RNA, 222 nt
Filed under: Hevea brasiliensis (rubber tree)
Lineage: Eukaryota; Viridiplantae; Streptophyta; Magnoliopsida; Malpighiales; Euphorbiaceae
Source: RNAcentral